UGAGGAAUAUUGGUCAAUGGGCGCAAGCCUGAACCAGCCAUCCCGCGUGAAGGAAGAAGGCGCUAUGCGUUGUAAACUUCUUUUCCAGGGGGAGAAUUUUUCCGUCGUGACGGGAAUUGACGGUACUCUGGGAAUAAGCAUCGGCUAACUCCGUGCCAGCAGCCGCGGUAAUACGGAGGAUGCGAGCGUUAUCCGGAUUUAUUGGGUUUAAAGGGUGCGUAGGCGGACUAUUAAGUCAGUGGUGAAAUCCUGCAGCUUAACUGCAGAACUGCCAUUGAUACUGAUAGCCUUGAGUUUGGUUAAGGUAGGCGGAAUGUGUAAUGUAGCGGUGAAAUGCUUAGAUAUUACACAGAACACCAAUUGCGUAGGCAGCUUACUGAGCCGACACUGACGCUGAGGCACGAAAGCGUGGGGAUCGAACAGG
This 424-nucleotide ribosomal RNA is filed under the name uncultured prokaryote. Its description in RNAcentral is "bacterial SSU rRNA". It matches the Rfam family "Bacterial small subunit ribosomal RNA", at positions 355 to 776 of the family's 1533-position model. The record is from RNAcentral.